RNAcentral lists this ribosomal RNA (677 nucleotides) under Matsucoccus sp. 1 MRM-2020. Its description in RNAcentral is "partial large subunit ribosomal RNA". It matches the Rfam family "Eukaryotic large subunit ribosomal RNA", at positions 470 to 908 of the family's 3401-position model. The record is from RNAcentral. Lineage: Eukaryota; Metazoa; Arthropoda; Insecta; Hemiptera; Margarodidae.
UCGUUAAUUCGCGCAAACGAAUUCAAAGUCGUCGAUUCGGGGCUUCGGCCCUCCGAAUCGGCUGUUUGAUUUUUCGUUUGUCGCGUCUUCGACGCGGAACGUCGCAACUCGUUGAAUUCGUGGCAAAAGGAUCGCGCGUGAAGUUCAACGCGAGCGUCGCGUUUUUCGCGUCGUAUCGCGUCGAGCCGUCGCGAUGCCGAGCUUCGAUCGUUCGACGGUACGCGAAAUGGCGUGCGCACUCGAGGGUCCUCCUCGCGUGCGUCGUUUGUUUGCGACGAUCAUUCGGGUCUCUUUCCGACCCGUCUUGAAACACGGACCAAGGAGUCUAACGUACGCGCGAGUCGCGGGGUAUCGCGAAUUUAACACGUUCGCGAUACGAGUAUAAACCCGAGUAGGCGCAAUGAAGGUGAGCGCGCGAUCGUUCGCGGUCGCGUCAGGGAUGACGGCGUUUUCAGCAAGCGCUCGUCAAUUUACGAAUUGACGCGAAACGCCCGCAAUCCCGGGGCGUUCAAAAUGGCGCGUCGGUGCGCGGUUCGCCGCGUAUUCGACGACCUAGGGCGCACCCGUAGCGUGUACGUUGGUACCCGAAAGAUGGUGAACUAUGCCCGGCCAGGAUGAAGUCAGGGGAAACCCUGAUGGAGGUCCGUAGCGGUUCUGACGUGCAAAUCGAUCGUCUG